RNAcentral lists this transfer RNA (73 nucleotides) under Stegodyphus mimosarum. It matches the Rfam family "tRNA". Rfam says of the family: Transfer RNA (tRNA) molecules are approximately 80 nucleotides in length. Their secondary structure includes four short double-helical elements and three loops (D, anti-codon, and T loops). Lineage: Eukaryota; Metazoa; Arthropoda; Arachnida; Araneae; Eresidae. The record is from Rfam by way of RNAcentral.
GACUUCGUGGUGUAGUGGUCAGCACGCUCGACGCGUAUUCGAGAGGUCCAUGGUUCGAGUCCCGGCGAGGGCA